CCAGUGUUAGCAUCAUUCUAGCUCCUUCGUCCAUCAAUUGCGACAAAACCCAUAACAUCAAUCCCGCAACCUCCAUGCGCGAAUAAUGCGAAAUCCCAGUGCACCUUAAGUUGUUCCCUCGUCCUCCACCAUUUUUGCUCCCUAAUCGAACCUGCAACAAAACCCAAGAACUAGAAACUGCAAUCUCAGUCACGCCUAAAAACACUCGUAAUCUUCCAUGGGAACUCAAGCCAAUCCAGAGAACGCGAAUCACGAGUCUUCAUCCUCACGCAACCAUGCUGAAUCCACGAACCAACAAACAAAUCAUCAAACCCAAUUGCAACCAUGAAAAAAAAAAAACAAUUGAAACGUGAAAUUGUGUAUUCCUUAAUUGUCUCCCAAAAUAAGGAGAUUCUGGAAAUUUCAAGAGCUUCCUAACAACAUUGAACAAAUUUAAAAAACCUGAAAAAGAGGUUUCAAAAGAGGUCUCGGAUUACCAAAGUUGUUCGUCUUGUCAACACCCAAUUUCGUCCGGGUAACUAAAUAAUAAGACUAGUUUUCAUUUUUGUCUUAUUUUAUUUUUAUUUUUAUUUUAUUUUUGUUUUAUUAAUUUUUGUUUUACUAUUUGAUUUAAUUGAAAAAGGAAAAAUGAAAAGAAAAAAAAAAGAAAAAAAUGAUGAAAAAGAAAAGGAAAAAAAAUGAAAAAAAAGGUAAAAGAAAAAAAACGAAAAAAAGAGAGAGAAAAGAAGAGAAAAAGAGAAAAGAAAAAAAGAAGAAAGAAUAAAAAGAAAAAUAAAAAAAGAAGAAAGAAUAAAAAGAAAAAGAAAAAAGGCAACGUGAUCUAUUGGUGGUGUGCUCAUUUGAUUUAUGGAAGACGCACAACAGAGUGCCUGGGCCCCCCUCACCUCUAAUGACAUCCAUGAUUGGCAUCAGCAAAGGGAGGAAUCUUCUUUUCACUCAAGGGAGAUCCACCAUUUUUUCCAACUCACAUCAUACUAUACUUUUCACCACUCCUAUCUCCUCUAACUUGGUAACCAACCACAUUUUUUCCUUUUUCAAUUCCAAUUCCACCAUAUUCAGCAUCCAUCCUCAUUACCCCAUCCUAACCAUUUUCUCCGUUGAUCACCCAACACACCCGAGGGGAAAUCAUCCCACAGAUUCACCNCAUCACAACAAGCAUUGCUUUUGGCUCCAUCACCUUCACUACACCUCAUGACCCAACAGACUCAACAGAUACACUCNUUUUUUCUCCAUCACUCAACACGCACACCAUCCCUCAUAUCCAUCACCACCAAAGAGGCACAACAGAAUUUUUUUUUUCCUCGAACCGAAUCAUAUCUCUCUGGCCCUUCUUACCUUCCAUCUUCUACAACACACCUAAACCAACUUAUUUCUUCCUUCACCCCUAUCCAAACCAUUCCACGCUCACAAUCACAGCCUCAAUCACCAUUUUAUCUUCUUCCACACACACGCACAAUACCAUAACAGAAACCANUCACCCCUAUCCAAACCAUUCCACGCUCACAAUCACAGCCUCAAUCACCAUUUUAUCUUCUUCCACACACACGCACAAUACCAUAACAGAAACCACUCUCCAUUACUCCAACCCGUGAUUCCUCCAACUGGAUUGAUCCCUUCAACCAUCACACACAACACGGAACCUCUUCCUCUAGCCCAACUUCAUCUUCGAACCCCAACACACAACUGCUAUAUUCAUUCACCUUUACCAUGUUUCUCUGGAUUUUUCCAUGAUCUCUAUCAUUUUAUUCUUCAAAAUUCUUCCACCCCACGCCCAUGAUGUAACCAUAGAACAACCUUUCAACUCCAAAAAAAAAAAUAGGAAAUUCAUUCAUUACCUCCAUCACCAUCACACAAACUCAUCUCAACACUCAAAGUAAAAAAACAGAUUUCAGAGGCAGGUGCUAAGUUCACACAAAGAGCGGCACAAUAUCAACACAGAUAUUAUGAUGAAUUUUUAGGCAAAUCUGAAGCAAGUUGCACAAGAUCGUGGUGGCUCUCGGAGAUGCAGCAGACAUAAGCCUAAUUGGAGAAAGUUGCGGCGAGCCUAGAUCAAUGGCAAGGGGCGCUACAGGUCGACGACUUGAAGUGGAACGAUUGGACGAAGGUACACCCAUGGAGGGAGGAGCUGGUGUGAAUGGUCUCAUGGAUUUCGUUUGAUGCAGUUGCGGCUAUGAGAUGGGUGGCAGCGCGAUGGUGGAAGAAGGAAGGCUCGAUGGAGGGGGACACCUUUGACUCGGUGGCAGCGGCGACCUGCGACGACCAACGGCUGGCAUUAUUCACGAAUAAGAAGGUUUCCCUCGCGCGAGGAGAAGGAGGUGAAGGGGAUUUUGUUGACACGGCCGACAAUGACCCUGGCGACGGACAUCGUCGCUGAAGAUGCCUUCGGCUGUAGACUGCGGUGGUUGGUUGGGUGGAGGCCGGUCGUGGCUGUAAGCGGUGGAGGUGAGGUCUCUGGUUUCCUCCGUUGAGAGGAGAAGAUGACUCUGAGUCUGGCGCGUUUAGGCACAAAUGGUGAAAUUGGGGAAACCCCUAAUGGACAGUUGAGUUGGGGCAAAGGACUUUNNNN
This 2566-nucleotide long non-coding RNA is filed under the name Vigna radiata. RNAcentral describes it as "long non-coding RNA (VRAD_LNC006617)". Lineage: Eukaryota; Viridiplantae; Streptophyta; Magnoliopsida; Fabales; Fabaceae. The record is from RNAcentral.